AUGCCAUGCACAAGAUAUACACACACUAAUAGAGAAGUACAAGCUCUGCAACCAGUGCAACUGUGCAAGUAUAAGCUUAUACUCAUAUUACACAUGACUGCUAGCAAGCCUGCCACUGCUGCCGCUGCUGGUCCUCAUAAGCUGGAGAUGGGCGCCUUCCAACCCUGCGUGUGGGGUGACUUCUUCGUCACCUACAACCCUCCCCUCUCGCAGAGCUCGGAGAUGACGAUGCAAGAGAGGGUGGAACAACUCAAGGUCCAAGUGCGCGCCCUGUUAGAGGACAACAAGAACAGGAGUGUGGCUGAUGUUGUGACACUCGUGGAAAUGCUCGAGCGGCUUGGCAUCGGCAACCACUUCCGUGGGGAGAUUGGCACGGCACUAAGGCACGUGCUAAACGAGGAGCCGGAGUUUCCAGCUAGCUCUGACGACCUCCACAUCGCCGCUCUUCGGUUUCGCCUACUUAGGCAGCAUGGGCUCUGGGUAUCUGCUGACAUAUUUGACAAGUUCAAAGAUGAGACAGGAAAUUUCAGCACAAGCCUAUGCAGUGACCCAGUGAGCCUUCUGAGCCUUUACAAUGCAGCGCACCUGGCAACACCUAGUGAGGAUGCACUAAGUGACGCAAUCGUCUUUUCGAGGUACCACCUCGAGGCAAUGAGAAACAAGCUUAGGCCACCAAUGGCAGAACAAGUCUCAUGUGCCCUCGACAUUCCUCUCCCACGGACCGUCAGGCAGUUGGAAACAAUGCAUUAUAUAAAGGAGUAUGAGCAGGACGAGUCUAACAAUGGCCCGCUCUUGGAGCUCUCCCGGCUUGACUUUGAAUUGGUCAGGUCCCUUCACCUCAAGGAGCUUAGGGAUCUAUCUUUGUGGUGGAGAGAUCUUUAUGACAAUGUGAAGCUAAGCUAUGCCCGGGAUCGUCUAGUGGAGAACUAUUUCUGGACAUGUAGCGUGUUCCAUGAGGAGGAGUACUCCCGCGCACGACUAAUGUUUGCAAAGACGUUCGGUCUGCUAUCCCUGAUGGAUGACACCUAUGAUGUCCACGCGACCCUGGAGGAUUGCUAUAAACUCAAUGAAGCUAUACAAAGAUGGGACCGAAGAGCGGUGUCUAUUCUACCUAAAUACCUGCAUAUGUUUUACAUCAGAUUGUUGGCUAACUUCAGAGAGUUUGAGGAUACGUUGGGACCACAUGAGAAAUACCGUGUAUCUUACGCAAAGACAGCGUUUCAGUCAUCGUCUGAAUAUUACCUCUGUGAGGCCAAAUGGUCCAACGAAAAGUAUGCCCCGAGCUUCAAGGAGCACCUAGAGGUUUCACGUAUGUCGUCAGGCUUCCCCACACUGGCCCUUGUGCUACUCAUGGGUGUGGACAACACAGCAACCAAUGAGGCAUUUGACUGGGCAGCCGAUGUCCCAGACAUUGUCUGCGCAAGCGGAGUGAUCGCUCACUUUCUCAACGACAUUGCUUCUUACAAGUUGGGAAAGACCAAGAAGGAUGUGGCUAGCUCUGUGGAGUGCUACAUGAAGGAGAACCUCGUAGGGGGGCAGGAGGCUAUCGUGGCAAUCUCGGCGUUGGCCGAAGAUGCGUGGAGGAUGAUCAACCGAGCAUGUAUGGAGAUAGAACCCGCACUGUUGCCAGCGGCACAAUUGGUGGUGAACCUGACAAGGACGUUGGAGGUUAUAUACCUUGGUGGCAGGGACGGCUACACAUUUGGUGGUGACCUCAAGGGUCUCAUCGCCGCGCUCUUUCUCAAGCCCAUAUAUGUCGUUUAA
RNAcentral lists this ribosomal RNA (1764 nucleotides) under Triticum aestivum (bread wheat). RNAcentral's name for it is "partial small subunit ribosomal RNA". The record is from RNAcentral. Lineage: Eukaryota; Viridiplantae; Streptophyta; Magnoliopsida; Poales; Poaceae.